GAUGAACGCUGACAGAAUGCUUAACACAUGCAAGUCUUUGGCGAAGCUGUGCUUGCACCGCCUAGCCAAGGCGGACGGGUGAGUAACGCGUAAGGAACUUGCCCUGCAGUCAGGGAUAACAGACGGAAACGACUGAUAAGACCUGGUAAAGUCAGGCGGACUCAUGUCCAGCCUGAUGAAAAGAGAUGCUGCAGGAGAGCCUUGCGUCCUAUUAGCUUGUUGGUGGGGUAACGGCCCACCAAGGCGAUGAUAGGUAGCCGGCCUGAGAGGGUGGACGGCCACAAGGGGACUGAGAUACGGCCCUUACUCCUACGGGAGGCAGCAGUGGGGAAUAUUGGACAAUGGGGGCAACCCUGAUCCAGCAAUUCUGUGUGCACGAUGAAGGUUUUCGGAGUGUAAAGGGCUUUCAGCAGGGAAGAAAAAAAUGACGGUACCUGCAGAAGAAGCGACGGCUAAAUACGUG
This 463-nucleotide ribosomal RNA is filed under the name uncultured bacterium. RNAcentral's name for it is "partial 16S ribosomal RNA". It matches the Rfam family "Bacterial small subunit ribosomal RNA", at positions 28 to 507 of the family's 1533-position model. The record is from RNAcentral.